GUAGUUUGACUCCGUGGCUCGAGGACGACGCUGGCGGCGUGCUUAACACAUGCAAGUCGAACGGAAAGGCCCUGCUUUUGUGGGGUGCUCGAGUGGCGAACGGGUGAGUAACACGUGAGUAACCUGCCCUUGACUUUGGGAUAACUUCAGGAAACUGGGGCUAAUACCGGAUAGGAGCUCCUGCUGCAUGGUGGGGGUUGGAAAGUUUCGGCGGUUGGGGAUGGACUCGCGGCUUAUCGGCUUGUUGUGGGUAGUGGCUUACCAAGGCCUUGACGGGUAGCCGGCCUGAGAGGGUGACCGGCCACAUUGGGACUGAGAUACGGCCCAG
Molecule: ribosomal RNA, 328 nt
Filed under: uncultured bacterium
Lineage: Bacteria
Description: bacterial SSU rRNA
Rfam family: Bacterial small subunit ribosomal RNA
Source: RNAcentral